RNAcentral lists this transfer RNA (76 nucleotides) under Candidatus Latescibacterota bacterium. Its description in RNAcentral is "tRNA-Ala". It matches the Rfam family "tRNA". From Rfam's summary of the family: Transfer RNA (tRNA) molecules are approximately 80 nucleotides in length. The record is from RNAcentral. Lineage: Bacteria; Pseudomonadati; Candidatus Latescibacterota.
GGGGGUGUAGCUCAGCUGGGAGAGCACUUGCUUUGCAAGCAAGGGGUUGGCGGUUCGAAUCCGCUCACCUCCACCA